Molecule: ribosomal RNA, 431 nt
Filed under: uncultured bacterium
Lineage: Bacteria
Description: bacterial SSU rRNA
Rfam family: Bacterial small subunit ribosomal RNA
Source: RNAcentral
AACGAACGCUGGCGGCAGGCCUAACACAUGCAAGUCGAGCGCCCCGCAAGGGGAGCGGCGGACGGGUGAGUAACGCGUGGGAACGUGCCUCUUGCUACGGAAUAGCCUCGGGAAACUGGGAGUAAUACCGUAUGUGCCCUACGGGGGAAAGAUUUAUCGGCAAGAGAUCGGCCCGCGUUGGAUUAGGUAGUUGGUGGGGUAAUGGCCUACCAAGCCGACGAUCCAUAGCUGGUUUGAGAGGAUGAUCAGCCACACUGGGACUGAGACACGGCCCAGACUCCUACGGGAGGCAGCAGUGGGGAAUCUUAGACAAUGGGCGCAAGCCUGAUCCAGCCAUGCCGCGUGAGUGAUGACGGCCCUAGGGUUGUAAAGCUCUUUCGCCAGGGACGAUAAUGACGGUACCUGGAUAAGAAGCCCCGGCUAACUUCGUG